RNAcentral lists this ribosomal RNA (253 nucleotides) under uncultured bacterium. RNAcentral's name for it is "partial 16S ribosomal RNA". It matches the Rfam family "Bacterial small subunit ribosomal RNA", at positions 524 to 776 of the family's 1533-position model. The record is from RNAcentral.
UACGUAGGGCGCAAGCGUUGUCCGGACUCACUGGGCGUAAAGGGUGCGCAGGCGGCAGAGCGCGUCCGCGCUGAAAUCUGUUGGCUUAACUGACAGGCGCGUGCGGAUACGGCUCAGCUCGAGGCACGGAGAGGGUGGGGGAACUCCUGGUGUAGUGGUGAAAUGCGUAGAGAUCAGGAAGAACACCCGUGGCGCAAGCGCCCACCUGGCCGUGACCUGACGCUGCGGCACGAAAGCGUGGGGAGCGAACCGG